UGCCUCCCUGCCUUUGGUCUCCCUCAGGCCCAGAAGAAGCUGCGAGGGAGGCACAUGACAAGCUUGAAGAUGCUUUUAUUGAGAAGGAGAGGGACUGAACAGAUUCUUGACAAGCCUAGGCAUAAAUGCUCCAGGUUUGGGAAAGAGGGCCAGGCACUCACGCAGUGGAGAAGUUCUCUGCCUGCAGCCAGUCUGUGACAGCUGCAGCCAGCCGUCCCUGACCUGCAGGAUCAAGUCUUGGCUC
Molecule: long non-coding RNA, 244 nt
Filed under: Homo sapiens (human)
Lineage: Eukaryota; Metazoa; Chordata; Mammalia; Primates; Hominidae
Description: HSALNT0012270
Source: RNAcentral